Molecule: ribosomal RNA, 357 nt
Filed under: Triticum aestivum (bread wheat)
Lineage: Eukaryota; Viridiplantae; Streptophyta; Magnoliopsida; Poales; Poaceae
Description: partial small subunit ribosomal RNA
Source: RNAcentral
AUGUCUCUGCAAGAGAGCGGAAGAAGUCAAAAAGGGGGCGGCAAAAAAGCUCCUUGGGGAGGACCGUCACGCCUAAUGUUGACCCUUUGUUGGAACUGUCGUGGGCUAGGCGGACCUGCGGCAGUUCAUGGAUUGUGCAAUAUUGCGUGGGAGUGUGUGCCGACUAUACUUUGCGUGGUGGAAACCCAGUUACCAAAGUAUCGUGGAGCAGUGGCGGGGCUACACAGGAGAUGCCUUGAGGGGCGAAAGGCAAUACAUCAAUCUCUGAGGGUGCGCGCCAUCAGCCGGCGGCUGACGGUAAGUGUUUCUAUGAUUAGACACUCCCGAUGCAAAAAAAAGGGUGGGGGUCAAUUAUAG